AUGUCAGCUGCAAACAUCUUCAUCAAACCCAUUAAUUCCUUCGAAUCAUAUCCUAAAAGAUUUAUCUGUACAUCAUCGAACAAAAGCUUUGACCAAAAAUCGACUAGUUUGUCCGGCGAUCCUCGGCCCCUAACCUGGGGUCAGUGGUUUAUUAUAAACAGUGUGAGACGGCGUGGUUGAGGCUCGGCCCCGAAAAUGCAGCUGGAAUCUGGGAAGCGCGAGCAGCCGACAUUUCACACUGACACAUCGGUGCGCGCGCGCGUGAGAGAGAGAGCGAGAGCGAGCGAGCUGCUGCUGCGCGAUAGCCGCGCGAGCUCCGCACAGUUGAUAUAAAAGGCGGCGGGGGAGAGACGGAGACGGCGGCAGACGACGGAGCGGAACGGGGGGAGAGAAGAUCUCGCUCCCCCCCCCAAAAAAGUCGUCUUCUGUAAUCCGGUGGGCCGCGUAACGGAGGCGCGCGUGUACUUUAGUAUUAAAACCGCCUCUUUGUCCUCUUUGUGUGGUUUUAGCAGAGCAGAAGUGCGGGUGAGGAGAGACACAGAGAGACACAGAGAGACAGCGAGGAACACUUGGCGCACAACCGGAGGCGAGCCCGGGACUCCCAUACGUGCAGUGACGGUCCACCUGGCAGCAUGUGACUAUAUUACUGCACCGGAUUGAAAAAAGGGCACAACGAACAGUGAAAUCCAGGCACAGUGACUAAAAAAGUGUGACGGGAACUAAGAAGUGGGAGAAAGUCUAUUAAGAAGGACUUACAGCUCUUCUUGAAACAGUUCUACAUAACGGUCACAUGUUCUCACAGUUAUGGGUAAAUUCCUGCACAAUUUAAGACAGAGUCUGAGACUGUGGAAUUAAGAUCACUGAAAUCACAGGAGGAAGACAAUCAAACUAACUAAGAAUUUCUGAUGCCAUUGCAUGCUGUCCUUGUUCCUUAUGAAAUGGUCACAUCAGCCUGCCCCACUGAUGACACAACUGCACACCUCCAGGAGAACACAACUAGUCAGCACACUAACUUACAUGAUCAUUCAUGUUAUUGCUACAUACUGCUAAGUGACAGUUUUGAAUAAAGAACAUCUCUGAUUACUCUGUAAGGUAAACAGCUAACCAUAUGUAGGUUCUGCAAUGUUUUAUCACCUAAUGUCACUGUAGUAUAGAUGACAGUUUGCAGGUUGCUCAGGAGCUCCUCAAUUGCUCAGUAGUCAGUGUAGGUCCUGUCUGCCUGUCAGCAGCUACAUCUGGCUACUGGGUCUCUAAUGGGCUUCAUUCUUCAAUGAAAUGUACAGUAUUUACAUGAACCAAACAGAAGUCUCACACACCAAUGAAUGGCAAUAGCUUCUAUCUGCCAAAUGAAUUGAGUGAUAAUGGAAGCAUGAUAAAAGAAGAAUUAUGUCAGAGAACUGUAAUUCUGUAAAUAAUGUAAAUUGAACUGUUUGGCAGGAGUAGUGGUGCAAAAGGAGAGUUUGAGUGCAGAAUAAAAAAAGAAAAUCCAUUCAGAGAUGGUUUUGUACCUGGCAUGCAGUGUAGAUAUCUGUGUCGGUAAACAUACAGCUACAUUGUCUGCUGGGUUUCAGAUCCAUCUUGGAAGCAUCUUGUUUAAUCAUGUUUGGUGCCUGUGUACCGCUCGGAAUCAUGAACAUUUGUUGAUGAUUCAUGAACAUGUGUUGAAUUCAAAUAAACUAAUUUCUUUGAGUGUUUUUUAA
Molecule: long non-coding RNA, 1700 nt
Organism: Silurus meridionalis
Lineage: Eukaryota; Metazoa; Chordata; Actinopteri; Siluriformes; Siluridae
Exons: 5
Source: RefSeq, a predicted model, not a curated record